GGAUCCAGACUUUGAUCCUGGCUCAGGACGAACGCUGGCGGCGUGCCUAAUACAUGCAAGUAGAACGCUGAAGAGAGGAGCUUGCUCUUCUUGGAUGAGUUGCGAACGGGUGAGUAACGCGUAGGUAACCUGCCUUGUAGCGGGGGAUAACUAUUGGAAACGAUAGCUAAUACCGCAUAACAAUGGAUGACUCAUGUCAUUUAUUUGAAAGGGGCAAAUGCUCCACUACAAGAUGGACCUGCGUUGUAUUAGCUAGUAGGUGAGGUAACGGCUCACCUAGGCGACGAUACAUAGCCGACCUGAGAGGGUGAUCGGCCACACUGGGACUGAGACACGGCCCAGACUCCUACGGGAGGCAGCAGUAGGGAAUCUUCGGCAAUGGGGGCAACCCUGACCGAGCAACGCCGCGUGAGUGAAGAAGGUUUUCGGAUCGUAAAGCUCUGUUGUAAGUCAAGAACGAGUGUGAGAGUGGAAAGUUCACACUGUGACGGUAGCUUACCAGAAAGGGACGGCUAACUACGUGCCAGCAGCCGCGGUAAUACGUAGGUCCCGAGCGUUGUCCGGAUUUAUUGGGCGUAAAGCGAGCGCAGGCGGUUUGAUAAGUCUGAAGUUAAAGGCUGUGGCUCAACCAUAGUUCGCUUUGGAAACUGUCAAACUUGAGUGCAGAAGGGGAGAGUGGAAUUCCAUGUGUAGCGGUGAAAUGCGUAGAUAUAUGGAGGAACACCGGUGGCGAAAGCGGCUCUCUGGUCUGUAACUGACGCUGAGGCUCGAAAGCGUGGGGAGCGAACAGGAUUAGAUACCCUGGUAGUCCACGCCGUAAACGAUGAGUGCUAGGUGUUGGAUUCUUUCCGGGAUUCAGUGCCGCAGCUAACGCAUUAAGCACUCCGCCUGGGGAGUACGACCGCAAGGUUGCAACUA
This 918-nucleotide ribosomal RNA is filed under the name uncultured Bacteroidota bacterium. RNAcentral's name for it is "bacterial SSU rRNA". It matches the Rfam family "Bacterial small subunit ribosomal RNA", at positions 1 to 902 of the family's 1533-position model. Lineage: Bacteria; Pseudomonadati; Bacteroidota. The record is from RNAcentral.